UACGUAGGCAGCGAGCGUUGUUCGGAUUUACUGGGCGUAAAGGGUGUGUAGGCGGUUGUUUAAGUUUGGUGUGAAAUCUCCCGGCUCAACUGGGAGGGUGCGCCGAAUACUGAAUGACUUGGAGUGCGGGAGAGGAAAGUGGAAUUCCUGGUGUAGCGGUGAAAUGCGUAGAUAUCAGGAGGAACACCGAUGGCGAAGGCAGCUCGCUGGGACGUGACUGACGCUGAGACGCGAAAGCGUGGGGAACAAACAGG
This 254-nucleotide ribosomal RNA is filed under the name uncultured bacterium. RNAcentral describes it as "partial 16S ribosomal RNA". It matches the Rfam family "Bacterial small subunit ribosomal RNA", at positions 524 to 776 of the family's 1533-position model. The record is from RNAcentral.